AGUGAACGCUGGCGGUAGGCCUAACACAUGCAAGUCGAACGGCAGCACAGUAAGAGCUUGCUCUUACGGGUGGCGAGUGGCGGACGGGUGAGGAAUACAUCGGAAUCUACUUUUUCGUGGGGGAUGACGUAGGGAAACUUACGCUAAUACCGCAUACGACCUACGGGUGAAAGCAGGGGAUCUUCGGACCUUGCGCGAUUGAAUGAGCCGAUGUCGGAUUAGCUAGUUGGCGGGGUAAAGGCCCACCAAGGCGACGAUCCGUAGCUGGUCUGAGAGGAUGAUCAGCCACACUGGAACUGAGACACGGUCCAGACUCCUACGGGAGGCAGCAGUGGGGAAUAUUGGACAAUGGGCGCAAGCCUGAUCCAGCCAUACCGCGUGGGUGAAGAAGGCCUUCGGGUUGUAAAGCCCUUUUGUUGGGAAAGAAAAGCAGCAGGUUAAUACCCCGCUGUUCUGACGGUACCCAAAGAAUAAGCACCGGCUAACUUCGU
This 491-nucleotide ribosomal RNA is filed under the name uncultured bacterium. RNAcentral's name for it is "partial 16S ribosomal RNA". It matches the Rfam family "Bacterial small subunit ribosomal RNA", at positions 29 to 506 of the family's 1533-position model. The record is from RNAcentral.